This 198-nucleotide ribosomal RNA is filed under the name uncultured bacterium. Its description in RNAcentral is "partial 16S ribosomal RNA". It matches the Rfam family "Bacterial small subunit ribosomal RNA", at positions 328 to 539 of the family's 1533-position model. The record is from RNAcentral.
ACGCUCGACACCUACGGGAGUCAGCAGUGGGGAAUAUUGCACAAUGGGGGAAACCCUGAUGCAGCGAUGCCGCGUGAAGGAAGAAGUAUCUCGGUAUGUAAACUUCUAUCAGCAGGGAAGAAAAUGACGGUACCUGACUAAGAAGCCCCGGCUAACUACGUACCAGCAGCCGCGGUAAUCUGAGCGGGCUGGCAAGGC